UGUGUAAGAAUUCCCUGCACUUAGGCUGUGUGUAAUGAAAAGGGUUGGGAUGAAUCAAGGAGAGCUAGGGUGGGGGCAGUCUCUAAAGCUGUCUUCAAGGAACGGAAAGAGGAGAAGGGAGAAAGGAAAGGGAAGGGAAAGGAAAAGGAAAAGGAAAGGACCUGAUGAGCGUUUCUACAUGGAGGUCACCUAUGGUCAAAGGUAGGAGAUAAAAGUAGAAGGAAAUAAAGGAC
RNAcentral lists this long non-coding RNA (233 nucleotides) under Homo sapiens (human). Its description in RNAcentral is "non-protein coding lnc-UFM1-11:1". Lineage: Eukaryota; Metazoa; Chordata; Mammalia; Primates; Hominidae. The record is from RNAcentral.